AUUCCUUUCAAGUCAACUUUCUUGUACUAGUUUAUCAUUGCGCUUUACAUGUCUCUGUUGUUCUUUGGGUAUGCUAAGGUUUGGUUCUCAUUAUUUCUUUGCCUUCUUCGUGCUUAAAGUUGGAUUAACCUUUCGCAAGGAAACAAGGACAGUCUGAAUUAUAUUUAUAAAAACCUUGUUAUGACUUGGAUUCACGCAUAAUGAAAAUUGAAAAGUAACUUGAAGAUCAAUACUUG
This 236-nucleotide unclassified non-coding RNA is filed under the name Hevea brasiliensis (rubber tree). Lineage: Eukaryota; Viridiplantae; Streptophyta; Magnoliopsida; Malpighiales; Euphorbiaceae. The record is from RNAcentral.